This 253-nucleotide ribosomal RNA is filed under the name uncultured bacterium. RNAcentral describes it as "partial 16S ribosomal RNA". It matches the Rfam family "Bacterial small subunit ribosomal RNA", at positions 524 to 776 of the family's 1533-position model. The record is from RNAcentral.
UACGUAGGGUGCGAGCGUUGGCCGGAAUUACUGGGCGUAAAGAGCUCGUAGGUGGUUUGUCGCGUUGUUCGUGAAAACCGGGGGCUUAACCCUCGGCGUGCGGGCGAUACGGGCAGACUUGGGUACUGCAGGGGAGACUGGAAUUCCUGGUGUAGCGGUGGAAUGCGCAGAUAUCAGGAGGAACACCGGUGGCGAAGGCGGGUCUCUGGGCAGUAACUGACGCUGAGGAGCGAAAGCGUGGGGAGCGAACAGG